RNAcentral lists this ribosomal RNA (886 nucleotides) under uncultured archaeon. RNAcentral describes it as "bacterial SSU rRNA". It matches the Rfam family "Archaeal small subunit ribosomal RNA", at positions 29 to 922 of the family's 1478-position model. The record is from RNAcentral.
GGGAACGGGGAUGAACUAGCCAUGAGAGUCAUUGUAGCAAUACAAGGCAGACGGCUCAGUAACGCGUAGUCAAUCUACCCUAUGGACGGGAAUAACCUCGGGAAACUGAGAAUAAUGCCCGAUAGAACAUUAUACCUGGAACGGUUUAUGUUUCAAAUGAUUUAUCGCCGUAGGAUGGGACUGCGGCCUAUCAGUUUGUUGGUGAGGUAAUGGCCCACCGAGACUAUUACAGGUACGGGCUCUGAGAGGAGUGGCCCGGAGAUGGGUACUGAGGCACGGACCCAGGCCCUAUGGGGCGCAGCAGGCGAGAAAACUUUGCAAUGUGCGAAAGCACGACAAGGUUAAUCCGAGUGGUUUCUGCUAAAGAAACCUUUUGCUAGUCCUAGAAACACUAGUGAAUAAGGGGUGGGCAAGUUCUGGUGUCAGCCGCCGCGGUAAAACCAGCACCUCAAGUGGUCAGGAUGAUUAUUGGGCCUAAAGCAUCCGUAGCUCGUUUUGUAAGUUUUCGGUUAAAUCCAUACGCUUAACGUAUGGGCUGCCGGGAAUACUGCAUAACUAGGAAGUGGGAGAGGUAGACGGUACUCGGUAGGAAGGGGUAAAAUCCUUUGAUCUAUUGAUGACCACCUGUGGCGAAGGCGGUCUACCAGAACACGUCCGACGGUGAGGGAUGAAAGCUGGGGGAGCAAACCGGAUUAGAUACCCGGGUAGUCCCAGCUGUAAACUAUGCAAACUCAGUGAUGCAUUGGCUUGUGGCCAAUGCAGUGCUGCAGGGAAGCCGUUAAGUUUGCCGCCUGGGAAGUACGUACGCAAGUAUGAAACUUAAAGGAAUUGGCGGGGGAGCACCACAAGGGGUGAAGCUUGCGGUUUAAUUGGAUUCAACGCCGGG